Molecule: unclassified non-coding RNA, 292 nt
Filed under: plant metagenome
Description: partial contains small subunit ribosomal RNA, internal transcribed spacer 1, and 5.8S ribosomal RNA
Source: RNAcentral
UUUCCGUAGGUGAACCUGCGGAAGGAUCAUUAUUGAAUAAACCUGAUGUGGUUGUAGCUGGCCCUUUCGGGAGCAUGUGCACACCCGUCGUCUUUAUCUUUCCACCUGUGCACCUUUUGUAGACCUGGAUGUAACACUUUCCGAGGCAACUCGGUCGGGAGGAAUGCUGUCAGCUUUCCUUGAAUGUCCAGGCCCAUGUUUUCAUAUACCCCAAAGAAUGUAACAGAAUGUAUUAUUGGGCCUUGUGCCUAUAAACUAUAUACAACUUUCAGCAACGGAUCUCUUGGCUCUC